UGCGAGGGGGACGGGACCGAGGCCAGGCAGCAGUGCGCUCUCUGCUUCAGGCCGGGUUCUCCCGGGAGGACCUAUAUGGGCGGGGCCUGGGCUCCGGGUCGGGCCGGCGUUAGUGGGCAAUAGCGGCUCUCCGUGCGCCGAACAUCCCGGCGCAGAAAUCUCCGGGUUGAGGCGCGGAGAUCUGGAGAGGCCGAUGGUCCUCCUCACACUCAGAUCUGACCCCGGCGCGGACCAGGUUGAAGAUUCCAUGGUGACGCUCCGUUUCCUGGAGCGAACAGGUCUCCGCCCAGCGCUGGGUCCCCCUCGCGCCCAGGCUGUAUCAGCUCUCCCGCUCUGCACGCUGCGGCUUACCUACGUGGUUAAAAGCACGCGCUCUGAGCUGAGACUGCUAGGACUGGUUACCCUCCCCAGCCCCACGAUCUUCAUCUGCAAGUGGUGGUAAUGAUAGUAAUUAUCUUAGGGUUGCUUUGAGUUUUAAACGAGAUAAUGGGACUUGUACAGUUUCUGGACUCAGUUUCUGGCACACGGCCAGUGCUCGGUAAAUGCUACUUAUUCGGUGACCUUGGAAAUGCCAAGAAGAUUGGGGUAAAAUGAGGAUGGUUCCAUCCCUCCACCCAAUAAAAAGUCUAGGACAUGAGACCCGCAUCCCCCAUCUCUUUUGGGAGCUGUACAGCUAAAUGCAUUCCUGCCCACCACUCUAAUCUGGCCAGUGCUACAGAUUCCCAGACUUGGACUCCUGGGCUGACCUCCUCUGCCAGCUGGAGCAGGAGCAUCUGGUGAGAAAAACGAGGCCCAGCGAGAUUAUGGAACCUGUCCAAAGUCCACUGGUGGCAUUUGAAGCCAAGCCCUUUUGGAUCUUAACUCAGAACUCUGGUUGUUUCUGCAAGGUCCAGUUUCCGUGAUUCUCCCAGGUCUUUCUUCCUAGGUACUUGCACAUUAUUCUGUACUUACUAUCUCUUCCCUUUAGGCAGUGCUCUUAUGGAGAAAGGGGACUCUACCUUAUUUCUCUUUAUAUCCCCUGUAUUUAACACCAAAUAGAUAGUCUGCUGAUGUUGAGUAGAUGUUCACUGAAGGAUGAGACAAUAAUUGUAGUAAUAAUUCUGAAUUCUUAUAUCUGUCCUCAUUUCCUUGUCCUGUCCAUUUGUUUAUGCAGCAACCAAUGAUUUUUUUGGCCUAGGGGGGCUUUUCACAUGCUCAGUAGGAUUUGUAAGUGAAAACUGCACUGUAGAAACCAUUCACAUUAAACCAUCGUUUCUCCAACCAUGGUCAUGUUCAUAGGUAUUCUCCAAAAACAGGUUGCAUGGAUAAAUAAGUUUGAGAAAUUCUAGGUUACACAAGAUUUAUUUAUUUAUUUAUUUUUAUGUUUUUUUGACAGCGCCACAUGGCUUGCAGGAUCUUAGUUCCCCUACCAGGGAUCAAACCCCAGGCCCCCUGCAGUGGGAGUGCAGAUUCCUAACUGCUGGACCACCAGGGAAGUCCCUAGGUUACACAAGAUUAACCAAAUAUCUUUCCUAUAGGACUUCUCAGGCCUUUACUAGGGUAAUUAAUGCCCAGGGAGUUGGGUAGAAUGCCAGGUAAAGUUAGCACAUUUCUUAACUUUUUUUGACCAGAGGACCUUUUUCUCAGAACGUUAUCAACGUCUAGUGGGACUGGUUCUAUGGAGUAUAGUUGGUGAAAAACUGCACUAAGCCUCAUUCUCUCCUAGAGCCGACUGGCCUGGGGCUUGGGUGUGCAGAUUGGUGUCAUUUAAUUGCCAUCUGUUGUCCCAGGCCCGUAGAGAGUCUGUACCUCUCCUAAAACCUUUAUCAGAGAAUUACUGUGCAGCUCAUUUAUCCACUCAGUAAAGAUUUAUUGAGUUUCUGCUAUGUGCACUGACUGUGGAGAAAACAGGAUUCUUGCCAAUCAAGAAACUGAGGACUCAGAACAGGGCCUGGUGAGUUGGAUGUGGAGAGACUAGGGCCCUCUGCUGGCUGCCCUGGGAGCUUGAAGGGUGAAGCUUUUGAUUUUCCAUCCAGACCUCUCAGUGUAUAGUUUUCUUCCAGCUGUAAGAACUCAAGGACUCUUCUGACUGGGAUUGAUUAGCUGCCCUGGGACACCGCAAGGAGGUAAACCCCAUCCAGGCCCAGAGAGAGUCAAUGAAAGAGGGAGCAGAGACAUCCAGGACCUCUCACUCACUGCACAGUGCAAGGGCCAGGCUGAGCCCAGAGGGACAGGAAGAGUCCAAGUUGAUACACUCAGGAUUUGCACAGCAGACAAGAAAAUCAUCAGCCUGUUAGGGUCAGCGUUUACAAGAUCUGUUAUGAUGACAGGUGGGCAUUAGCUACUAAAGACUGCUUUUUAAAUCUCCAAAGUGUGUUUUCUACUGGUGAGUGCUUCUCUUUUCAUAUCAAUUGCCUUUUCCCAGUGAAACCAAGGGCAACCAUCAGUUAGAUCCCUUAAACUAUAACUUGCGUAGUAAAUAAUAUCCUGUAACCUGCCUUCAUUGAUUAAGCUCGCCUUAAUUGUUCUCUCAAAUGUAUCUCCUCCAAGCUUCAUGAAACUUAGACAAUAUAUCACGACUCCUUUAACCAACCCCUAUAGAGAACACCUCUGAUGUGUGGAUCGCUAUAGAAUUGGUUGCUUAAGUUGUUUUCCAGGAACAUGGAGCAAGUCUUGUCCAGUUCAAACCAGUAGAGACCACUGACCAUUCAACUGGGCCUGUGCGAGUGUCCAGUGGAUGACCUUUUGACAUCAGAGGCCAAAAACUCCACCCUCAGAUCAUGCUAGCCACCAUUUUCUGAACACACGUCCGAUGAAGGAGCACACAAGCCAGAUACGCCUGCGCAGAACACCGCUUACUUCACCUUUUCUUGCCUCCAGUCGUCUGUCCCCACACCUCAGACCACCCUGCCUCUUUAUCCCAUGAAUAUCCCAGCCCCUCGGAUUUGAGACUUGUUCUCCCAUGUCUUUGCUUGGCCGCCUGGUGAAUAAACCCUUUCUCCACUGCAAACCUCGGUGUCUCAGCGUGUGGCUUGCGCUGGGCAUUGGGCAAAUGGACCCAGUUUUGGCACGCCAGAGGCUCCAAUAGGCAAAACUCAUAGUGAAAAUCAUCAGUAUGGAGACUUAUUCUGCUUAAUAUCCAAAGAGUUUAAAUUCUAAUUUACUCAUCAGUGGCAAAAAAGCAAGGAAGUUGUGUUUAAUACUUUUUAUUUUUUUGCAAUUUCCCUGAUUGGGAUGAUCCCUCUAGUAUUUGUGAAAUUACAAAAAUAACACUUUUCUUCAAUUUUUGCCAUACAUCUGAAUGCCUUAGCCACAAAAUAAAAGCCAUUUAAAAAAUUUCCCCUUCCCUUUUUUAUCAUUUUUCAAAUUUACUCAAAUCCCAUGCAGUAAAUUCAGCAUUUACAUGGUUAACAUUACAGCUGCCAGGAAAUCUUGGCUGGAAUGCCAGGGGGAUAUGGGCCUGAAGAAUUGGCUGCAUUGCCUCCUUUAUUUUUUCCUCUAGUUGGUCUAAAGCUUUACUCCUGGGAACCAAUUUGCCCUCCCCCUUAGAGGAAAGAACGUUACAAAUGUCAACCUCUGUAGCCUAUGCAAGCUCCUCUUUUGGAAGAGUUGGGCUCUGGAGGAGAGGACAAAAGCAAAGGCAUCUCUCAGGCUGGAUUUCCCCUCUCAUUAGCCAGCAAGUAGCCAGGGCAGCUGCAAGCCUGUUCUUCUGGAGUUGAGCUCUCAUUUUCAAACUAUGUGGGUAACUUUUCCCUCUCACAAGAGGCAGCAGCCCAACUGCUGUUUUAUGCCAGCCCUAUCUCCAGAGCCAUCCUGACACCAAGUGUUCAACAUCUCCUGCCCCUUCGUCCUUCAUUUUCCCAAAAACAUCUCCUGCCCCUUCGUCCAUUUAAUAGUUGUACUCACAGCUAAGGUUUAUUACAGUGGAAGGACACAAAGCAAAAUCAGCAAAGGGAAAAGGUGCAUGGGGUGAAGCCCAGAGGAAACCAGGCCCAAGCUCCCAAGAGUCCUCUCCCAGUGAACACAUUUAAUUCUUCCAACAAUGAAUUGUGAUAGCAGGUAUGUAAUCUUGCCUACGAGGGAAGCCUGCCUGACCUCAGGGGCCCAGGGCUUUUAGUAGAGGUAGGUCACAUAGGCACCCUCUGCCUAGCAUGCACCAGAAUUACAUACUCCCAGAAGGAAAGCAAAACCACAUGGUUCCUACCAACAGUUUAGCACAGCAAGCCACUCUUUUCAUUUAAGGAAUGAUAGAAACCUUCCCAAAAUCUAGGUUCCCAGACUUAUUGUCAUAUAAUAUGUGAAUAAAAUAAUUUUCACAGAGUGAACAAUUUCUAUAACCACCACGUAAAUCAAGAAAAAAAAUUACCAGAAUCCCCCAAAAUCCCAUUUAUGUCCUCUUCUGGUCAUUAAUCCAUCUCCCCCAGGGUAACCACUAUUGUGACUUGUAACACCAUAAUUUGUUCUGUCGGUCCUUGAACUUCAUAUGAAUGAAAUCAUGUAGCAUGUAUGCUUUUGUGUCUUGCUUUUUUUCUUAUCAUGACAUGUGAAAUUCUCCCAUGAUGUUGUGCAUACGUUGCUCAUUUUAA
Molecule: long non-coding RNA, 4565 nt
Organism: Physeter macrocephalus (sperm whale)
Lineage: Eukaryota; Metazoa; Chordata; Mammalia; Artiodactyla; Physeteridae
Exons: 6
Source: RefSeq, a predicted model, not a curated record